UCUCUCCCUCUCUCCUCGAUUUCGAGACGGAUUUUCGCCCGAUCGAAAAUCCGAAGAUACCACUGGACUCCAUUCGCUGCUGCCGUCAUUUCUACCGAAGCGGAUCGGUGAUAGGAGCAGCGUAGGCAUAUUCCCUGGGGAGUCCCUGAGAGACCGGCAGGUCAAGGCCGCCGUUGAGAUUAGUGAGAUUAUCCCAUGAGGAGGGUAAGAUUUUGUACUAGGGUUAGAAUUAUUUUGUGUUUGACCCUAGAGAUAUUUUGAUGUAUGUGAGGAUGUAUAGAAUGCUCUGGUAUUAUAUUUUGUGACUGGAUGUUUGAGA
Long non-coding RNA from Malania oleifera, 319 nucleotides. RefSeq lists it as uncharacterized. NCBI's taxonomy places the organism in Eukaryota, Viridiplantae, Streptophyta, Magnoliopsida, Santalales, Ximeniaceae. The record is from RefSeq and is a predicted model, not a curated record. The transcript is spliced from 2 exons.